GCCAGCGUGGCUCAGUGGUUGAGCAUUGACCUAUGAACCAGAAGGUCAGGGUUUGAUUUCCUGUGAGGGCA
Molecule: transfer RNA, 71 nt
Filed under: Myotis davidii
Lineage: Eukaryota; Metazoa; Chordata; Mammalia; Chiroptera; Vespertilionidae
Rfam family: tRNA
About the family: Transfer RNA (tRNA) molecules are approximately 80 nucleotides in length. Their secondary structure includes four short double-helical elements and three loops (D, anti-codon, and T loops). Further hydrogen bonds mediate the characteristic L-shaped molecular structure. tRNAs have two regions of fundamental functional importance: the anti-codon, which is responsible for specific mRNA codon recognition, and the 3' end, to which the tRNAs corresponding amino acid is attached (by aminoacyl-tRNA synthetases). tRNAs cope with the degeneracy of the genetic code in two manners: having more than one tRNA (with a specific anti-codon) for a particular amino acid; and 'wobble' base-pairing, i.e. permitting non-standard base-pairing at the 3rd anti-codon position.
Source: Rfam by way of RNAcentral